UACGAAGGGGGCUAGCGUUGCUCGGAAUCACUGGGCGUAAAGCGCACGUAGGCGGAUUGCUAAGUCAGGGGUGAAAUCCUGGAGCUCAACUCCAGAACUGCCUUUGAUACUGGCGAUCUUGAGUCCGGGAGAGGUGAGUGGAACUGCGAAUGUAGAGGUGAAAUUCGUAGAUAUUCGCAAGAACACCAGUGGCGAAGGCGGCUCACUGGCCCGGUACUGACGCUGAGGUGCGAAAGCGUGGGGAGCAAACAGG
This 253-nucleotide ribosomal RNA is filed under the name uncultured bacterium. RNAcentral's name for it is "partial 16S ribosomal RNA". It matches the Rfam family "Bacterial small subunit ribosomal RNA", at positions 524 to 776 of the family's 1533-position model. The record is from RNAcentral.